RNAcentral lists this ribosomal RNA (133 nucleotides) under uncultured bacterium. Its description in RNAcentral is "partial 16S ribosomal RNA". The record is from RNAcentral.
AAAGUACCGUCAAGCUAUAUGGAUAUUAGCCAUAUAACAUUUCUUUCCUUACAACAGAGUUUUACAACCCGAGGGCCUUCAUCACUCACGCGGCGUCGCUCCGUCAGGCUUUCGCCCAUUGCGGAAAAUUCCC